Molecule: small nuclear RNA, 102 nt
Filed under: Tropilaelaps mercedesae
Lineage: Eukaryota; Metazoa; Arthropoda; Arachnida; Mesostigmata; Laelapidae
Source: RNAcentral
GUACCCUUGGGUACAUAUACUAAAAUUGGAACGAUACAGAGAAGAUUAGCAUGGCCCCUGCGCAAGGAUGACACGCAAAAUCGUGAAGCGUUCCACAUUUUU